GCUAUAUUCAACAAUUCUAAACAGCAUGACCAGAUGCAAGCAUUCAGCCCUCCAAGAGAAGCGCACUGUUACUCUGUUACACACGUUGGCUUACUUUAGGUCUCAGAAAACUAGUAAAUUACAGAAGGAUCUUGGUUUGUACCUCCACCUGCAUGGACUGCCAAGAUCUGCCCUCAACAGUGGCCUUCUGACUAGAUUUGGAUGUGCACCAAGAACAAUAGACUCAUACAAUAAAGCUAAAAAAAAAAAAAAAAAACUAUCCAGAACUGCUCACCUAACUCAAUUAACUCCAAAGCAUGGUCAUGUUUUGUAGAUCCAAAUAACUGUUGAGAUAAUCAAAACUGCACAGUAAAUAGAGGUGAUACUGAAAUAUUAAGACUUACUUGUGGUCACACCUUCCACGAUGUCUGUUUACAAACAAAUGACCAGCUAUGUCCAUUCUGCACCACCUCCAUCCUAGAGAAAGUUAAGACACUUUCCGAUGCCUUCAAUAAGAGUAUUAUAAGCCCAACGAAAAUGACAGAUCCAGCCAGUAUAUCAGAUCAGUCCAAUACACCAGACAUUGUUGAUGAAAUUAAUACUUCCUCAAGUAAACCUGCAGAAUAUUACUA
Nematostella vectensis (starlet sea anemone) is the source of this 611-nucleotide long non-coding RNA. RefSeq lists it as uncharacterized. The transcript has 2 exons. The record is from RefSeq and is a predicted model, not a curated record. Lineage: Eukaryota; Metazoa; Cnidaria; Anthozoa; Actiniaria; Edwardsiidae.